RNAcentral lists this ribosomal RNA (456 nucleotides) under uncultured bacterium. RNAcentral's name for it is "SSU rRNA". It matches the Rfam family "Bacterial small subunit ribosomal RNA", at positions 26 to 518 of the family's 1533-position model. The record is from RNAcentral.
AGGAUGAACGCUGGCGGCGUGCCUAAUACAUGCAAGUCGAGCGGUAAGGCCCCUUCGGGGGUACACGAGCGGCGGACGGCUGAGUAACACGUAGGAACGUACCCCAAACUGAGGGAUAAGCACCAGAAAUGGUGUCUAAUACCGCAUGUGAUCUUCGGAUUAAAGCUUCGGCGGUUUGGGAACGGCCUGCGCAUGAUUAGCUUGUUGGUGAGGUAAUAGCUCACCAAGGCGACGAUCAUUAGCUGGUCUGAGAGGAUGAUCAGCCAGACUGGGACUGAGAACGGCCCAGACUCCUACGGGAGGCAGCAGUAGGGAAUUUUCCACAAUGGGCGAAAGCCUGAUGGAGCAACGCCGCGUGCAGGACGAAGGCCUUCGGGUUGUAAACUGUCUUUUAUAUGUGACGAUUAUGACGGUAGCAUAUGAAUAAGGAUCGGCUAACUCCGUGCCAGCAGCCGC